AUGGAAGACAACUGGUUAAUCCAGAAUGUAAGGGGGCUCAACAACCCGGCCCGUAGGAAGGUAGUCAAGGAUGUAGUGUAUCAAAACAGUGUAUCUUUAGUGUGUUUGCAAGAGACGAAGUUGUCUAUCAUGGAUGCGGCAACUGUGCAACAGUGUUGCGGGGCUGAAUUUUUGGAGUUUGCCUUCCUGCCAGCCGAUGGAACGCGGGGUGGGGUGUUGCUGGCCUGGAAGGGCGAUCACUAUACUUUUCCCAAUAUUUCGGUGCACCAACACUUCAUCGCGGCUCAUGGCACAAACUCUGCCGGGCAGCCUGUUGGACUAAUCUCCAUCUACGGACCACAAGGAACUGAUGACAAAAUAUCCUUCCUGCAAGAUCUAAGGCUUGUGCUACAGGGGGGCUUCCCGGCGGGCACACCGGUAGCCAUGGUGGGCGACUUUAACUUGAUUGCUCGGGCGGCCGACAAAAGCAACUAG
This 474-nucleotide ribosomal RNA is filed under the name Triticum aestivum (bread wheat). RNAcentral describes it as "partial small subunit ribosomal RNA". Lineage: Eukaryota; Viridiplantae; Streptophyta; Magnoliopsida; Poales; Poaceae. The record is from RNAcentral.